ACCCUUCUAAGUACAAUAGUGACAUCAGAUGAAAAAAAGUUUAAUCUACUCGACUACCUUGAAACACAUCUUCAUUCACUAGCCGUAUCAUAAAGAAGACAUUUUGUUGUAAGAUUUUAGCUACUGAUCAGAAAAGGCUCUGUCACACACGUUUGCGAGUUACUCUUCGAAAAAGUAAAGGAGCUGAGAACAAAGAAGGACAAUGAAGAUGUCUCAAAGUAUUCCACCCAAGAAGAAAAUCUGUGGAGACGGGCGACGUAUAUGCUUGCCGAACCGUUGGAUAGAAUGAUCCAAAAAAUGUUGGAAACAGCCCAAUGCACAUUACUAUAAAAUUUCAAUUUGUAUUUUAUUAUGUAACAGUUUGUUCCUUGUUACACUAAACAAAAGCCUGCAUGUACAAUGCACUGUAAUCCAUACUCAUACAAUUACUCCAUGGGCAUAUUAAGGUAACAGUUGUUACCUAUAGCUAGCAUUUUUUACAAAUGCAAAAUGUUUUAUUUUUAUUAAACUUGGUUGAGUACAAUAAAUGUAUUAUUAUUAUUAAAAUAAUAGCUCAACACAAACUUCAUCUCUAGAAUCAAAAAGAUGAGAUGUCUCCAUUCAGAUACUGUUAUAGACUUAAUAUAAGAUGACACAGAUA
This is a long non-coding RNA of Coccinella septempunctata (seven-spotted ladybird), 640 nucleotides long. RefSeq lists it as uncharacterized. The record is from RefSeq and is a predicted model, not a curated record. The transcript has 2 exons. NCBI's taxonomy places the organism in Eukaryota, Metazoa, Arthropoda, Insecta, Coleoptera, Coccinellidae.